RNAcentral lists this ribosomal RNA (466 nucleotides) under Vreelandella stevensii. Its description in RNAcentral is "partial 16S ribosomal RNA". It matches the Rfam family "Bacterial small subunit ribosomal RNA", at positions 338 to 795 of the family's 1533-position model. Lineage: Bacteria; Pseudomonadati; Pseudomonadota; Gammaproteobacteria; Oceanospirillales; Halomonadaceae. The record is from RNAcentral.
CCCACGGGGUGGCAGCAGUGGGGAAUAUUGGACAAUGGGCGAAAGCCUGAUCCAGCCAUGCCGCGUGUGUGAAGAAGGCCUUCGGGUUGUAAAGCACUUUCAGUGGGGAAGAAAGCCUUGGGGCUAAUACCCUCGAGGAAGGACAUCACCCACAGAAGAAGCACCGGCUAACUCCGUGCCAGCAGCCGCGGUAAUACGGAGGGUGCGAGCGUUAAUCGGAAUUACUGGGCGUAAAGCGCGCGUAGGCGGUCUGAUAAGCCGGUUGUGAAAGCCCCGGGCUCAACCUGGGAACGGCAUCCGGAACUGUCAGGCUAGAGUGCAGGAGAGGAAGGUAGAAUUCCCGGUGUAGCGGUGAAAUGCGUAGAGAUCGGGAGGAAUACCAGUGGCGAAGGCGGCCUUCUGGACUGACACUGACGCUGAGGUGCGAAAGCGUGGGUAGCAAACAGGAUUAGAUACCCUUGUAGUC